UGAGACAUGCAAGUCGAACGAGGUGCCAACGAGCUUGCUCGAUGGUUACCUAGUGGCGGACGGCUGAGUAACGCGUAGGUGACCUACCCGGAAGUGGGGAAUAACUGCCCGAAAGGGUGGCUAAUACCGCAUGUGGUCGGCGGUUCGAUUCGCCGUCCAAAGGAGUAAUCCGCUUCCGGCGGGGCCUGCGUCCGAUUAGCUAGUUGGUGAGGUAACGGCCCACCAAGGCGACGAUCGGUAGCUGGUCUGAGAGGAUGAUCAGCCAGACUGGGACUGAGAACGGCCCAGACUCCUACGGGAGGCAGCAGUCGGGAAUUUUGCCCAAUGAGCGAAAGCUUGAGGCAGCAACUCCGCGUGAGGGAUGAAGGCUCUCGGGUCGUAAACCUCUUUUCUCAGGGAAGAUCCAAGACGGUACCUGAAGAAUAAGCGACGG
This 433-nucleotide ribosomal RNA is filed under the name grassland soil clone saf3_106. RNAcentral's name for it is "bacterial SSU rRNA". It matches the Rfam family "Bacterial small subunit ribosomal RNA", at positions 49 to 496 of the family's 1533-position model. The record is from RNAcentral.